AGUGAACGCUGGCGGUAGGCCUAACACAUGCAAGUCGAACGGCAGCACAGUAAGAGCUUGCUCUUACGGGUGGCGAGUGGCGGACGGGUGAGGAAUACAUCGGAAUCUACUUUUUCGUGGGGGAUAACGUAGGUAAACUUACGCUAAUACCGCAUACGACCUACGGGUGAAAGCAGGGGAUCUUCGGACCUUGCGCGAUUGAAUGAGCCGAUGUCGGAUUAGCUAGUUGGCGGGGUAAAGGCCCACCAAGGCGACGGUCCGUAGCUGGUCUGAGAGGAUGAUCAGCCACACUGGAACUGAGACACGGUCCAGACUCCUACGGGAGGCAGCAGUGGGGAAUAUUGGACAAUGGGCGCAAGACUGAUCCAGCCAUACCGCGUGGGUGAAGAAGGCCUUCGGGUUGUAAAGCCCUUUUGUUGGGAAAGAAAAGCAGCAGGUUAAUACCCCGCUGUUCUGACGGUACACAAAGAAUAAGCACCGGCUAACUUAGUG
This 492-nucleotide ribosomal RNA is filed under the name uncultured bacterium. RNAcentral describes it as "partial 16S ribosomal RNA". It matches the Rfam family "Bacterial small subunit ribosomal RNA", at positions 29 to 507 of the family's 1533-position model. The record is from RNAcentral.